Molecule: RNA transcript, 937 nt
Organism: Ipomoea triloba (trilobed morning glory)
Lineage: Eukaryota; Viridiplantae; Streptophyta; Magnoliopsida; Solanales; Convolvulaceae
Gene name: zinc finger protein BRUTUS-like
Exons: 5
Source: RefSeq, a predicted model, not a curated record
AAGGGUCCUAAGUAUGCUCCCAAAAGGAUAAAAGAAGCUACUGACCUCACUCGGGAGAACUUGCAUAGCAUCGCUGAGGACAAAGUUAUAUUCCCUGUUGUAGACACAGAGUUGUCUUUUGCCCAGGAGCAUGCAGAAGAAGAAAAUGAGUUUGAUAAGCUCAGGCCCUCAUAGAAAACAUUCAGAAUGCUGGAGCUAACUCACCUUCUACUAAAUUUUAUUCGAAGUUAUGCUCUCAUGCUGAUCAUAUAAUGGAGAUAAUAGAGAAGCACUUCCACAAUGAGGAAGUUCAGUAGGAUCACUAAAUGAGGAGGAUGCAAGGUCUUUUCUGCACAAUAUACAUAUGGCAGCUCUGGCAUCAGACACUGCGUUGGUAACACUUUUCACUGGUUGGGCAUGCAAAGGCCGUACAGGAGAUACUUGCUUGUCUUCUAAUGCAACAGGUUGCUGUCCUGAUGAAGAACUGUAAGGAAAUCAAGAUUGUAUAGGCCGAUGUUUUUGUGCCAGAAGUGAAUCUUUCUCAUAUGCCCAAGAGGAUUGCCAGGAAAGAUGUUCAAGUUCCACUUUAGGAGAGAGAUGUGAUCCUUCUGGAACAUGAAUUGGCUAUGCCUUGGUGCAUGAUCAGACCAUGGCAAAAAGACAGGUGGUUUUUAUGCAUGCAAUCGCUAUGAAGCAGCAAAGCACAGGGGAGUGGUAUGUCCAAAAUUAUGUUUGGUCAAUUUUGGAUGUCUCAUACGUUUGUUUUCUGGGUCGUUUAAUGCAUUGAUAUUGAGUUAGUUGAUGAUGCUUAAUUUAGUUACCAACUUUUGUUUUGCCUAUUAUUGAUUAUAGUAUGAUGAAUCUGAAAGGAGGAGAGAGAUGUCCAAAAAUUCCUUGGACUAGAGUACUAGACUAGUAUUUGGUUGUAAUUUCAUUCUCUCUUCUGUAGCUUUCAAUU